This 497-nucleotide ribosomal RNA is filed under the name uncultured bacterium. RNAcentral describes it as "partial 16S ribosomal RNA". It matches the Rfam family "Bacterial small subunit ribosomal RNA", at positions 28 to 507 of the family's 1533-position model. The record is from RNAcentral.
GAUGAACGCUGGCGGCGUGCCUAAUACAUGCAAGUCGAGCGAACAGACGAGGAGCUUGCUCCUCUGACGCUAGCGGCGGACGGGUGAGUAACACGUGGAUAACCUACCUAUAAGACUGGGAUAACUUCGGGAAACCGGAGCUAAUACCGGAUAAUAUAUUGAACCGCAUGGUUCAAUAGUGAAAGACGGUUUUGCUGUCACUUAUAGAUGGAUCCGCGCCGCAUUAGCUAGUUGGUAAGGUAACGGCCUACCAAGGCAACGAUGCGUAGCCGACCUGAGAGGGUGAUCGGCCACACUGGAACUGAGACACGGUCCAGACUCCUACGGGAGGCAGCAGUAGGGAAUCUUCCGCAAUGGGCGAAAGCCUGACGGAGCAAUGCCGCGUGAGUGAUGAAGGUCUUCGGAUCGUAAAACUCUGUUAUUAGGGAAGAACAAAUGUGUAAGUAACUAUGCACGUCUUGACGGUACCUAAUCAGAAAGCCACGGCUAACUACGUG